GUUUUAUUUUGUUCUUUGUAUAAUUAAGUUGAGAUAUUUAUCAGAAAUACAAUCGUUUGCUACCAUUAUUUUCAAGGAUAAUUUAACACAUAAUAAAAUGAAGUAUUUAGGUUUGCAAUCAUGGUCAUACAAUUUUAUGCCAUAUUUUCCAAUUUCUCAGAGAAAUUAUAAAACUAACAGUAAGGAAUCAUCCCCUUCUGUCAUUGCAGCUGACGAUGGGGUGAACUCUGGUCGACCUGUGGUCAUAAAAUUUUAAGGAAUCUCGUAAAGAUGUUGAUUAAAUUUACGCACUGUAAUAAACUAUGCAG
This 308-nucleotide long non-coding RNA is filed under the name Mytilus galloprovincialis (Mediterranean mussel). The record is from RNAcentral. Lineage: Eukaryota; Metazoa; Mollusca; Bivalvia; Mytilida; Mytilidae.